GUGAUCUGAAAGGGGAAUGGCAUGUCUCUCAGCAGCUCCACCGGGAGCCUCUGACCAGCCAUGUUGUCCCCACAGCUCCACCCAGGCCUCAGGCCAGCCACGUUAAGCAAGGCCUCAUAGAUGCACUUUCAUUUCCCCUCAACGCCAAGCCCUUAAUUAGCAACACCUCUCUCAGUUCUGCUCUCAGUCUUUGCAGAGCCGGGGUCAAGAGAAGAAAUGGUGUCUCCACCAUUACUGGUUAGAAGCCAGAGCAACAAACUAUUAGAGUGCUAGAUGUAGUUCUGCUUUCAAAGAAGAUAAACAAGAUGGCUGGGUUUGGGUUAGGUCCAGAAAUUUCUCUGAGUUCUGUGGUGAAGUCUGGAGACAAAGCGAGAGCAGCUUCCCAGUCAGAGUUCACGGUAUGAUUCCCACUUCCUACUUUAGGACCCUCAGAUGCCUGAACAGUACAUUUCACCUUGUCCAUCCAAAUUCCACCUGGCCCUCUCCCUACAUGGCUACCUCUUGGUCUCUGCCACAGCAGGGGUAUUCAUAUCAUGGGUGAGGUCUAUGCUAACUCUGGAGAACACAGUCGAGGGCCGAGUCACACGUAGAUCAGCGGUUCUCAACCAGAGGAUUGCCACCCUUUCAACAGGGGUUACCUAAGCCCGUCGGAAUGCACAGAUAUUUAUAUUCUGAUUCAUAACGGUAGCAACAUUACAGUCAUGGAGUAGCAGCAAAAACAAUUUCAUAGUGUGUGUGGGGUCACCAAUACACUAGGGACGGUGUUAAAGGGUCGUAGCAUUAGGACAGUGCUCUGAUCUACUGGAACCGUUGGCCUAGAUGGAAGUCUAGGGUUCUGAGUAGGCAUGUCCCUAUGUCCCAGGGGAAAAGGCAGGCCAAGUGAAGGUGCUUUCUGAAGCGUGGAUCUCUUCCCUUCACACUUCCUGUAGACUACCUCUUUGAAGAGGUAGCCAUGAAGGGACAGGAAAGAGUCCCCUCACAGCAGUUUAGACUCAGGCUCUGGAGAGAACUGAGAGCCAGUUGGGGAAAGGCAGGACCUGGGAGUCUGCCCUAGCUCUGUCCCACUGCUCCCCACCCCCAAUUGAAAGUAACUCUUAGAGGACAGGAAUUCCAUGGUUUACACAUCUAGGUGACAGUCCAGCAUUGAAGGAAGUCGGGGCGGGGUGCUGAGCAGGGACUCAAAGCAGAACAUAUAUAGCCCAGGAUCACAUGCCUAGGGCCGGUACUGCCCACAGGCCAAAAUAAUGGAGGCAAUGCCUCACUGGAGGGUCUCUCUCCCCAGGUGGCUCUAGUUUGUGUCAAGUUGGCAGUGAAAACCAGCCAGCAUUUUGUCUGAGCGAGUACAGGUGUGUACCCCCCUCACCUCCCGCGCCCCAUGUCGUUAUCAGUGCCGAAUGUGUAUCUGAGGUCUUGGGGGAUCAAGCCCAAGCUGCAACCUGCAAUCUUACGUGAGCUUUCCCUGUGACAGUUUCAGGAUAAACCCAGAUAGCUCCCUACUGGCAGUCUGCUCGCUACGGAAACCAGGGUAUUCUUGGGACCCGCCGUGGUCCCCUGGCUCUGAUCUGCUUGUCCGAGGCUCCAGACACUGUCCUGUCAGUAUGACGUCAUUGCUAAAUUGACCUUCAGAGAAAACCCACAGUGGACUUUGUGAAUUGCCUCGGAGUCAUUGAUGAAGUCGAUCUUGAUGGCGUCAUUCUGAAGUGAGGGAAACUAGGAUGGGAACCUUAGGCAGAGGAAGCAGGUCCUUGGAACUGUCCCCUUGGAGAAGUCAAUCUUGACCCAGUUACUCCAUCUUUUCUGGCUGGCUGUCUUGAGGUGAUCAGCUUUCCUGUGCUAUGCCCCUCCUCCAUCUUCCUGCUGUGCCACAAGCCAAGAGCAACCAAGGCAGCUGAUGUGAACCCCUGAAACCACGAGCUAAAAGAAAACCACAACCCCCUUCAAGUUACGCUGGGAAUUGGGUCACUGUGGAGACACCAAAACACAAUGAAGUCGUCCAUGAAGUUUAGGUGGACAUCUUAGUGUGCUUCUGAGUAGGAGAAAAAUGAAAUUGGCCUCAAGUGGCUUAUCAGGGAGAUGAAUUAAAUCUACCUGGUUCAUCUACAGUAACACUGUACUUCAGAAGUGAUACUAACAACUGUGUAUAAUAAAGAUAUCACACAUAUCCAUCUCUAUAUGAUCUAUAUCACCUCUAUCUACCUCUAUCUACACACACACACACUCUCACACACACACUCACACACACUCACACACACAUUCACACAUUCACACACUCACACACACGCACACACACUCACACACACGCUCUCUCACACACACACGCACAUGCUCUCACACACACACUCACACAUAGACUCACACACACACUCACACACACUCACACACACACACGCACACACUCACACACACUCACACACACACGCACACGCUCUCACACACACUCACACACACGCACACGCUCUCACACACACUCACACACUCACACAUAGACUCACACACACACUCACGCACACUCACACAAACACGCACACACACAUACACACACAUACAAACAAAUAAUUAAUGUAAAAAUGACAUAUAAUAAAUAAUGUGGAAAUAGAAGAUAAUGUUACUUUAUAAAUCACACGAAUGGAAAGCGGUCAGUAAAGUUUAAAAAAGAAAUGUUACUAAAUUAGUAAGGGAGAUUACUAAUGACUGGUAAAAUUUUGAGCGUGUGUUCUAAAGGAUCGAACUUCUAUUUUCUUUUUUAGAUUUUAUUCUUAUUUCCUGGGAGAAUGAGUAGCUUCUUUGUAUGCAUGCAUGUGCCGUACUUGUGUGCCUGGUGCCUGCAGAGGCCAAGAGAAAGUGCUAGGUCCCCUGGAACUAGAGUUACAGAUGGUUCUGACCCACCAAAUAGAUGCUGGGAAUUGAACCUGGGUCCUAUGGAAAAGAAGCCGUUAACCGCUGAGCCAUUUCACCAGCCCGUGGUUCUGUUUUCUAAUAUAACGCGAUCGCAGUUUGUACAUGUAAUCAAGGCAAAUUUUACAUCGAGAAUGCAUACUAAAAGUUAGGUUUUCAAAAAGUCGUCGACUGUGUCAGCUUGGCAGGAUGCAAUGGAGACUGCUCCAUGGAAUCUGAGGUCAAUUUCUGCUUGUGUGAGAGGGAACCAGUCACAGGCAGGCAAAAGACCAGAGUCCUAAGAUUCAUUCUCCAGGGUCCCCCUUAGAUAAGGGCCCCUCGGUGGGUGGGGUAAGGCAGGUCAUCCUGCCCCUGCCUCCCUCUGAACCUUUGGAUCGGUGAGCACCGGGAAGCUAUUGACGCGGUGCCAAGGAUGCCGAAGCUCUCUUCGCCUGGAAAGGGGUUAGUAGUAGCACAGGGAACUUUCUGGUUUGACUCUUGUUGAAAGCCUGAAAGCCGUGAGAAGUCAUAGCCAGGGUGGUUAGUGAGGGUGCGGCCAGUGACUUCACCUCAGGCCUUGCUGGAAGCCCUCCCCGCAGUGACUCAUCCCUUACUGGACAGGCAAUCUUUUCUGGAGUAAGCACAAGUCAACAAGGCCUCCAUCAACUAAUUCUAUAGCAAUCACCUCUCACAUUACCGUCCUGCCUCCAGAGUCCCUGAAGUUGUGGCAGAAGGUAAUUGCCCUGGCCCUCUGCCAUGGGCUACCUCACCAGCAGGGUCUCCCCCCCCCCCCCUCGCAGCAGGAAUAAGAAGCCCCUGGAGGAUUUGAAUGAUACCAUGGAGGUGGGAGGUUGCCAGAACUCUGCCCUUAAGCCCUUCCCCACGGGAGCUAGAGAAGUUUCUCUGCUUCCUUCUCCCAGGAGGCUCCACGGAGGAAACAGCAGUUGGGCAGAAAGAGCCACUCCAGAAGCUCUCAGCUCAAGCAAGGUGCUCUGUGAGGGUCUGAGACAGGGGCCAAGGAAGAGAUUCUCUCUCAGUAGCAGGGGCGUGUCUGAGAUGGGCCCCCAUGAUAGGUGCUGUGGCUGGCAGGUGAGGAAGAGGCUUCAGCUCUCCUUUACACACUGCCCUCAGCCUUCCUGAGCAUACGAAGCCUCUCGUACAGCAGAGGCUGGACCCUGGGGUUCCUGCCAGCGGUCCCACAGACUCCUACCCGCAACCGCUACUUUUCCGGGUCACUGAAAAGGUUCCUCCUGCCCGUAUAAAGAGUUAGCUCCACCAGGUUUCACCCUCCCACUUCCCCCACACUGGCCCAGAGUUUCCCAGUAAGCACCACUACGUUGCUGACUGCCUCCCUGGCAGCGUUUACACCUGAGCCUGACUAUGCUGACGCUGACGGUGUUGGCUGGGGCAACAGUAGGUUGCUCUGUGCACUGAUCGUUCAAGAGAGCCAGUCUUGGGUGAGAGCCAGGCGGGUGCUAAGCCACGUUGUAUUAACGUGUCCCAUGGCUUUAUAGGCGUGUGCCACCACACCAACACUGCUUAGUAUCGGGCAUAAAGUAUUUUUGGAGGUUUCUAAAACACCACGUCUGUGGGUGCUCUCCUAUGGACUCUGAGACUGACUCCCAAGGGCUGCACACGGGGACACUCAGCACCUAGUCCUAUCCCCUGCUUCAAAGCCCUCUCCCACCACCCACCCCCGCUCUGCCAUGGCUUCCUUCCCCUGGCUGUCUUCAUGUUGCCAGCUCCUCCUCGUGCUUCAAGAUGGGGCCCCAACCACACUUCUGUCAGGCCUUCAUGUGCCCUCUCCCCAUAAAUAAAUAAAUAAAUAAAUAAAUAAAUAAAUAAAUAAAUAAAUAAAUAAAUAAAUAAAUAAAUGUACUAUUUUUAAAAAAAUCUUUUUAAUAAAUUCCAGCUCUGUCUCAAGGGGAAAAAUAUUAACACCGGUUAUGGAUGGAAGCUGGUUUUCUAGAAACUGGGAAGAGACUAGACACCGACACGAGUUUUUAAAGAAAAAUUGCCAGAGUGACCUGAUUUUCUCAGGAAAUCGAGCAGACAGUAUCCCUGGCUUUCAGCAGGAUGCCUGGGAAGGGGGCUGGAAGAACAUAGCCGCGUGACAGAAUAGCUGUGCUCCUGGCCCAUGUCUGAGACAGCUGCACAGCCUGGGAGGUCUGGUGUGGGCAGCUUGGGGACUUGGGACCUGUCCUGACUUCACAGCUACUAACGACUUAAAUAAGGAUGCUUAGACCCCAGAGAAUCAAGAGCCCAAAGAAUGGGCCAACGUCACCAAGAAGAAGACAUGGUGGGGGCAUGCAGUGUCCGAGGACAGCAUGCGAGUUCAGGGCACAGCUCACUGUGUCAGUGUGAUGGCUGCCCAACCCAGUACACUUCCAGGCAGUGAUCCAAGAGAACAUCGGGGCCAAGGUCACUGUGAGCUGAGCAUGCAACCUAGGAUUUAAAGAGACUGGCCAGGACUGCAAGUGUGUGCCUCCUGGGCAGCGGAAAGGAGCGGUGGUGUCUUGUGAGGGGAGAGCUGGUAGGCUGAGGGCCCCAAGUCACUGCCCAACCCACCGUGCCUGGAAUAAGGCGAAAAGAGACUCAGGAAAGUCUGCUUCCCAGCCUGCGUGUUCUGGUGUGGGGGCCCCGCCUUCUGAGGAGGGUCCUGAGAGAUGUGCAGCCCAGCACCCCACAGGGCAUGCGCUUAGAUUUGUCUUCCUGAUCAAGCCCUCUGCUGAACCCUGAAGAGACUCCAUCCGCCACAGCAAUGGCUCUAAUGGCACUGGGAUAUGGGAAGCCUCACUGUCAGGGUCAGAACCUCAAUCUGUGGGUCUCUGAGGACAGAGGAGCUAUGGUGAAGAUCCUAUCUCACAGCGAAGACCAAGUACAACUUAGUGACAGCUGAGCAAACACAAGCUGCCUGGGGUCAGGGCACUCUGGUUGUGAGCGAGCUCUUGGUUCCCACAGAUCUAGGAAAAAGAAGAAAAAACAGAUCAGUGAGACAUCACAAAACACGGAAUGCCACCAAGGGCGAGACUGCAGCUCUCAAAGGACACAUCUAACACGGCCAUCAGAACUAAGCAAAGACCAUCAUGGCUGAUGCCUAGGAGAUGAGGAACACACGAGGUGACUCAGAGCACUGUGGUAGAAGCUACGGGAAACGUAACUGUCUUCCAUUUGGGAUCAUUAUCAAUUAUGGCGUCCCUUCCAACGGAGCAGUAUGCAACUGUUCACAGGAAGAAACUCUUCCAAAAUCGAUAGAAAAGUUUGACGCUGUGGAGGUUCGAAUAUGCUUGGCCUGUGGCAAGUGCGGCUGUUAGGAGAUGUGGCUUUGUGGAGGAAGCGUGUCACUGUGGGGGUGGGUUUUGAGGUUCUAUGCUUGAGCUCCACCCAGGGCAGAAGAGAGAAAGAGCCUCCUCCUGGCUGCCUACAGAGGAGUCUUAUUCUGGUUGCCUUCAGAUCAAGAUGUAGAACCCUCAGUUCCUUCUCCAGCGCCAUGCCUGCCUGCACGCUGCCAUGUUUCCCGCCGUGAUGAUAAUGGUCUGAACCUCUGAACCUGUAAGCCAGCCCCAAUUAAAGGUUGUUCUUAAAAGAC
Molecule: long non-coding RNA, 6463 nt
Organism: Rattus norvegicus (Norway rat)
Lineage: Eukaryota; Metazoa; Chordata; Mammalia; Rodentia; Muridae
Source: RefSeq, a predicted model, not a curated record